Molecule: long non-coding RNA, 785 nt
Filed under: Rattus norvegicus (Norway rat)
Lineage: Eukaryota; Metazoa; Chordata; Mammalia; Rodentia; Muridae
Description: long non-coding RNA NONRATT021514
Source: RNAcentral
GGUAGGGGAGAUAGGUAGGUGGUAGGUAGGUAGGUAGUAGGUAGGUAGGUAGUAGGUAAGAAGGUAGUAGGUAGGUAGGUAGAUCGUAGUAGGUGGUAGGUAAGUAGGUGGUAGGUAGGUAGAUGGUAGUAGGUGGUAGGUAGGCAGGCAGGCAGAUGAUAGCUGAAACGGUACAGAGCUGGGUGUGUUGAAUGUGUAGGUGGUAGAACAGUGUUAAAGUGUGUGAGGCCUUGAAUCUGAGUCAGCAGCAGCACUGAUUACAAAUGCUAGAGAAAGCAGGUGAAGGCAAGGAAAAAAAGGCUCACUGCAUUAGUCUUUAAUUGUCGAGGAAAAAAAACAGACGUGUGACUGCAGAAGGCAGAGGCAUGGGAGACAAGCUUGCUUGACAAGCCAUAUUUGUUUCCAAAGUUUUAAAACCAGCCUCAACUGGGUUGGGAGCUACUCACUGUUCCCGUUUCCCCAUGCUUUGCUAUCUCACUGUGUCUGAACCAGCAAGCCUGCCCAUGUAUGAAGUACCACAUACUCCCUUCCCCCUCCCUUCUUCCCCUGCCUCCUUUCUUGAUUUGUCUUGAGCACGUGCUCUUCCUGCGUUAGCCUCUCAUGCACUGAGACGCCACGUGUGUGCUGAGCGUCACUUACUAAAUGCUUCUUUUCAAACCAGAGUACUGAUUCUUAAAUAUCAAAAUAGCGUCUGGGUUCUGCUGUGAAACUCAUGUGUUUAUUCAGGUGCAAGCUCUACAACUUUAAUUAUUUGACUGUAAUCAAUACAGAUUUCAAUAACUAAA